Molecule: ribosomal RNA, 371 nt
Filed under: uncultured bacterium
Lineage: Bacteria
Description: bacterial SSU rRNA
Rfam family: Bacterial small subunit ribosomal RNA
Source: RNAcentral
GUAGGGUGCGAGCGUUAAUCGGAAUUACUGGGCGUAAAGCGUGCGCAGGCGGUUGUGCAAGACAGAUGUGAAAUCCCCGGGCUCAACCUGGGAACUGCAUUUGUGACUGCACGGCUGGAGUGCGGCAGAGGGGGAUGGAAUUCCGCGUGUAGCAGUGAAAUGCGUAGAUAUGCGGAGGAACACCGAUGGCGAAGGCAAUCCCCUGGGCCUGCACUGACGCUCAUGCACGAAAGCGUGGGGAGCAAACAGGAUUAGAUACCCUGGUAGUCCACGCCCUAAACGAUGUCGACUAGUUGUUGGACGGCUUGCUGUUCAGUAACGUAGCUAACGCGUGAAGUCGACCGCCUGGGGAGUACGGCCGCAAGGUUGAA